Molecule: non-coding RNA, 1819 nt
Organism: Macaca mulatta (Rhesus monkey)
Lineage: Eukaryota; Metazoa; Chordata; Mammalia; Primates; Cercopithecidae
Source: RefSeq, a predicted model, not a curated record
AAGUUAAAUGAAAAUUCUUUGUAUUUAUUUUGGCUUUUAGUCAUUCAGGAUCUGUGCCUUGCAAAAUUGUAUCAUAAGUCACAUGUCUUGCUUUCCUUGUUCUGUUUAAACUCAUCAAGUUGAUUUAGUUAGUAGUAUUAGUUUCACCAAAAAAAAUUUCUUUGGUUAAACAAAAGAGGGACUUAUUAGAAGAUAUCAGGUAUAUCACGGACUCUUUGAGAAGGCCAAGAUAUGCCAGAGUCUGAAAUUCUUGAUAGGAGCAAAUUUCAGCCACAAAUGGGUCUUCAUCAUCUUCCACUCAUAGGAAUUUUUGAUUCCUAGGACUUGAUGCUAGAGGCUUUCCAUAGAAGAAACACGUGUCUCUUCCACCUUGCUUGCCGGAAGACUGAUGACCUGUCUGUGGUUCUUCUUCUCAUUGCUUACCUCCAAAGUCAGGCCUCCUGAGGGUACAACAGAACCAAGGGCACCUGCCUGAAUCAGAAAAUUGGGCUAGUUUGGGGAUGUGAAUUUUCUGGAAUCUGCCUCAGAGUGUGGGGAGUUACCAAGGUGUAGGGAUGGUGGUUAAACAAUGUAAUUCACAGAUGUCUUUUUUGAUUUCUUACCCUUACCAUUUUCUUCUCUAUCCAGGGUAGCUCAGAAUGAAAGUGUUUAUAGGGACUAAUUACGGAAUUUUUUUUUCUCACCAGAAUGUAAUUUCUUUGAGGAAAGGGCUGUGGAAUUUUCUUAAUUGUUAUAAACAGCAUUUAUUGAACAGAGAACAGGUCCAGCCUCUUCCAGAUUAACUCUGUUAAACUAUUGUUGGGAAACUUCUGCUUCUGGAAAGAUGGAGUACAUGUGCUUUUCCCGAUUCUUGCUUUUAAGUACAACUAAAACCUUGGACAUUACAAAGAAGACAAUACAAGAAGACUCUGAAAGAUAGAUGAAGGAAGGUUGACUACAGAACUCAGGACCCAAGGAACAACAUGGGGAUGUCCAAGGAGGCUGAGUGGGAAAAUGGACUUCCCCCCCGCACCUGGCAGCAAUAAGGUACCCUAAGCCCUUCUCCUGCUGGAUGGGGUCAGAGGAAGUCAGGUAAAACAGAGUUAUAAAUAAGACCCAGAGCUCCUAGCAUAAUCCUCAAAAUGUUGAGAUUUCAAUUAAAAAUCAUGUGUGUGAAGAACCAAGAAAAACUUGAGUGAAAAAAACAAUCAAUAAACACCAACACUGAGACAACAAAGAUGUUAAAAUUAUCUGAUGAAGUUUUGAAAGCAAUCACCCUGUAAUUCCUUCAAAAUGGAAAAAAAAAAAAAAUAGAAAGCCUCAGCAGCAGAGAAACAAAAUAUAUAACAAAGAACCAAAUGGAAAUUUUAAACCUGAAAAAUGUAAUCACUGAGAUUUUAAAAGUCAAUGAAUGGGCUUAAAAGCAGAAUGAAGGGAGAAGAAGAAACAAUCAGUGAACUGAAGAGAGGGUGAUAUCAACUAUUCCAUCUGAAGAAAAGAUGAAUAUAACAAAAGAUCUGACAUUUGUGAUGUUGGAGUCUCAGAGGAUAGGAGAAAGAGGGUGAACUGAAAAAAAAUGAAGAAAAUAAUGGCUGAAAACUUUUCAACGUCAGUAAAAGAUAUGAAGUGAGAGAUUCAAGAAGAUGAGUAAAUUCCAUAUAGGAUAAACAUAAAUCUAUACCGAGACACAUCAUAGUCAAAUUUCUGAAAAAAAUAAAGACAGAGUCUUUAAAGAAAUGACACUACCUACAGAGGGAAAAAGAAUUUGAGUGACAGCAGAUUUCUCAUGGAAAGUAUGGAGGGCAGAAGGAAGUGGCACAACAAUUUUCAAAUGCUGAAA